This 301-nucleotide ribosomal RNA is filed under the name uncultured bacterium. Its description in RNAcentral is "partial 16S ribosomal RNA". It matches the Rfam family "Bacterial small subunit ribosomal RNA", at positions 509 to 808 of the family's 1533-position model. The record is from RNAcentral.
CAGUCGCCGCGGGAAUACGAAGGGGGCUAGCGUUGUUCGGAAUUACUGGGCGUAAAGCGCACGUAGGCGGAUACUUAAGUUAGGGGUGAAAUCCCAGGGCUCAACCCUGGAACUGCCUUUAAUACUGGGUAUCUAGAGUAUGGUAGAGGUGAGUGGAAUUCCGAGUGUAGAGGUGAAAUUCGUAGAUAUUCGGAGGAACACCAGUGGCGAAGGCGGCUCACUGGACCAUUACUGACGCUGAGGUGCGAAAGCGUGGGGAGCAAACAGGAUUAGAGACCCCCGUAGUCCCUGUCUCUUAACA